ACUAUAAUGAACAAAAAUAACUAAAACUAUCAAAUACAUAAAACAACAAAAAACUGUAAACAAGAUUUUAUUCUUAUCACUAAAUAAAUAACAUUUACAAAACAAAUAAUUACAUAAAUCACUUAAAACUAGCUUAAAAUGAAAUAGAUCAAUAUUACAGUGACCUUGCUAAUGGUUCGUUUAUCGGUCGCGCGGGACCCUAAGCAGCUUUCUCUUCAAUCCUUUGCGUCUGGGCAUUGGUCAAAAACAUCGUAUGAUUUUAAUGGGCGGCGCCUAAAGCCGUUUGACCUUUAAAAAUCGUCGGCCAGGGCACGUCUCCCCGGCUUCAUUUUGACAAACCAACUUGAAAAGUACGGCCGCGUACCUGCCUAUCGCCGCCGCGCCGAUUCAAUUUCAAAUAAUUUAUAAUAUUUAGUGCAAAUGCAAUAAAUACAGAUUGCAAAGUACAAAUUUCUGCGAGUACAAGUUAUUACGCCAUAUUUCAUAAAUAAGUACGAUAAAACUGUGUAGUGAAUACAUCCCCGAUAGGGGAUCGAAUUUGGGGACUAACGCGGAGGCAAACGCGUACCAUCUGCGGCUCAAGAUCCAAGGCGCCUCCAGCUGACAGCGACUACGUCCAGCACCUACGGCCACCAUCUACCUUCGGCCGCCCUCGCCAGGGAAGUCACGGACCGCGAAAGCAUACCCACAGUCGGGCAUCCGAACCCCGCCCUCAUAUUUUUUGUAAAAGUAAAUAAACCGUAAUUUUAUCUGUGUACGCUAGUGUUGAUUAUUUAUUAAUUUCCCGCUACGCGACACUGGCGCCUCAACUUGGUUUUUUUAUGGACUGAUGGGUUUGCUUUCGUAGUAAGUAGCUGUGUGUUGUGUGCUUUCUUUUGUGUAAAUUCCUUCUUGUUUUUUUGGUUUGUUUUUUUUUUGUUGCCUAUUUUGGUGUGCUGUUACCUUUAUAUUAACGCUUUUUUUAAUAUCUAUUAAUUAAGCUUUGUAACAGUCGGAGUUAUUUUAUUUUCUAUUUAGAAUAGACGCUACGAAGUACUGGUUCAUCACUUAACCUAUUACAUAAUUUAAUAUCUCAAAACAAUUUUAAUAAUUUUAAAGGUUCCGUACAUAUUUUUUGAGCCGUGGUUUGAAUUUUUGUCGAAUUAAUUUGGUUUUACAUAAUUAUUUUUGAAGGUUCCGCAUAAUUUAAGUAAUUUUUAAAAUGAGUCAUCAAGUUAAAUUUUUAUCAUUGCAAAAAUCGGAACUAGAGUAUGAAGUUCUCAUAAGAGGUUCUACUCCUGCUGCUACUGUUUUUGAUUUGCGCAAACAAAUUGCAAAAUUAGGACCGAUAUUUCCUUCUGAGGACAUUUUAGAUAGUCCCUUGGAGCCUGCUGACGAUAUAAAAGGUGUUGAAGAGACUCUCAGCAAGGUUAAAAACAAUCUAAAAUCAAAUUUAGAUAGGAAUACUUUGUUACGUACACAAAACUAUCUAAACCAUUUGUACCACCGCAUAAACCGAAUCAUUAGCAAUAAAGAUACGGACGAACAAUUUGAAUUUUGCGUGUCUGAAUUUAAAAAGUAUAAAGAUAUUUUAAAAAGUAAUACAGAUACGGUUACCGAUCCUUUAAUAUCAACAAGCAAUUCAGAAUGUCCGACUACCUCUGCUGCCCCACCUCUAAAUAUUUCUGUCACUUGUGAUCGUGGAGGAGCAGUAGACUUAGGUAGGCUUAAAUAUGACGGUAAGUCUUGCGUACGAGCGUUCAUUCAACGUCUUACUGAAUUUUGCGUCGCUAGGAGUAUCUCUGAUACUAAGGCCAUGUCUUAUGCCACUGAAAUUUUCACCGGAGACGCACUUCAUUGGUUUAGAAGUGUUAGGGAUCGUGUGUCUAAUUGGAGCGAGCUAAUUACCCUGUUGAGACAAGAUUUUGACCAGUCUGACUUUGAUUACAGACUGCUGUCAGAAAUUCGUAACAGAACACAAGGCGAAUCGGAAAACAUCACGAUUUAUUUGUCGAUCAUGUCCGGAUUGUUUUCGCGUCUUUCGAAAACUCUGUCGGAAGAAGAUAAAUUAGAAAUAAUCCUCCAUAACAUUAGACCUUGUUACGCUAGCACUUUGGCAUCAGCUUAUGAAAUCAGGACCCUCGAAUCGUUACAAUCGCUUUGUCGUAACUAUGAAGCUAUCCAAGCACGUCUCGCUAAUUUCCGCGAGCCUAGUGUUGCGACAUCAAACACCUUAGCUCCUGAGUUCGCAUAUAAUAAAAACCGAUUUAAUUACAAAACACAAAAUAAUCCUAAUAGUUACUCAAAAUUUAAUAAACCUAUAAACAACACAAAUUAUAAUCAAAAUAAAACCUAUACAAAUAAUUACACUAAUAAUAAAAACAAUUCAAAUCAAAAUUAUGUACAUGCAAUCGAGUCUCCUAAGGUUCCUUAUUGUCCUAGGUGUCGUGUGAACACUCACCAUAUCAGUCAAUGUACUGAAAAUAAAAACAAUAUAUUUUGUUUUAAAUGUGGCAGACCGAAUGUCAAGAAACCUCAAUGUCCAGAUUGUAACAAAAUGGAGCCUUCAGCUUCAAAAAACUGAAUGGGCUGAAUUGUAGUAGUACAAAAAGUAAUUUUGAUAAAACUGAUUGGGAAAACUGGCUUCAAACACUCAAAUUAUUUUUCAGUUCAUAUAAAACUGCUACAAUUCGCAGCAAACCAGUUAAUGAUACGAGACCUUUUGUCACAGUCAAUAUAAAUAAUAUUUCUUUUACUGGUCUACUUGACUCAGGUUCCGCAGUAACCAUUUUGGGUGACAACUCUCAUGUUUUAUUAGAGAACAACGGUCUUAAACUGCUUACUGAUACCUGUAUUCUUGUUACAGCUGCAGGUGGUCAGUCUUUACAAAGCAUAGGUCACAUUAAUAUUCCUGUACAUUUUGAGAACCAGUUUCACAUUAUUGACGCUGUAGUUGUGCCACAAAUAGAAACCUCUCUUAUUUUGGGUGUUGACUUUUGGCGAAAGUUUCAAAUAUGUCCUAAGUAUUUGGGUAGCAUCUCGUUCGGUACAGUCAGCGACGAUGACGACACUACUAAUGAAACUCUAAUUCACGGCUAUGACAAUUUAUGUGAGUCUGAAAAACUUAUAGCGGAUAACAUCAUAGAUCAAUUCAAAGACAUUUCAUUUGAACGUAGGGGUCUAGGACAAACUUCUUUGAUUACCCAUCGAAUUGAUACCGGUGAUGCUCAACCAAUCCGGCAACGUUACUACCGCAUGUCUCCGGAGAAACAACGAAUCCUGGUUGAGCAGGUCGAUGAGAUGUUGGCUCUUGACGUGGUUGAGCCUUGUGAAAGUGCCUGGUCUUCCCCAGUCCUUUUAGUAACAAAAAAGAAUGGUCAGCCGAGGUUUUGCCUCGAUAGUCGCAAGCUCAACUCAGUUACCAAGCGUGAUGCUUAUAAUUUGCCAUACAUUUCUGAGAUCUUGGAUAACCUUAGAGACGCUCGUUAUCUUAGCAGUAUCGAUUUAUCCAAAUCUUUUUGGCAGAUUAAUAUAGCUCUCGAGGAUCGUGAUAAGACUGCAUUUUAUGUUCCGGGUAGAGGUACACUCAGGUUUAAAAGAACCGCGUUCGGUUUAACUAACGCACCCGCGACUCAACAGCGUUUAGUAGAUCUUUUGUUCGGCGAGUUUGGCCUUAAUGUCUUCGCAUAUUUGGAUGACAUAAUAAUUGUAAGCAAUGACUAUAAUAGUCACGUGACACUCUUGUUAAAGGUCUUAGAUAAAUUAAAACAAGCUAAUCUCACCGUGAAUUUAGAAAAAUGCAAGUUUUUCCGUAGCCAACUUAAAUAUCUGGGUUAUGUCGUCGAUAGUCGUGGACUGCGCACAGAUCCCGAGAAGGUCGAGGCUAUAUUAAACUAUCCAACACCUACUAGCCGAAAGGACCUUAAACGUUUUCUUGGCACAGCAACAUGGUACCGUCGCUUCGUACCAAAUUUUAGUACAAUUGCUGGCCCUUUAAAUAAAUUGACUUCUAAUAAAAAAGGCACACCUCCAUUUAAGUGGACUCCGGAGGCUGAUGUGUCCUUUUUAAAACUAAAAGAAUGUUUAGUUUCUGCUCCUGUUCUAACGUGUCCUGAUUAUGCUCAGCCUUUCGAGGUACACACGGAUGCGAGUAACUAUGGGGUAGGCGCUAUGCUCACACAAACAAAAGACGGUAAGGAGCAUCCUAUCGCUUAUAUGAGUAAGUCUUUAUCUGCGGCUGAGAAAAAUUACAGCAUUACUGAGCGCGAAACUUUAGCUGUGGUAACUGCUCUAGAGCACUGGCGGUGUUAUUUAGAGAACGGCAAAACUUUCACUGUCUAUACAGAUCACAGCGCCUUAAAGUGGUUCCUCUCUCUGAGUAAUCCUACUGGUCGCUUAGCUCGUUGGGGAGUACGGUUGUCAUCUUUUAACUUCGACAUUAAACAUCGUCGUGGUGUAGACAACGUUAUACCCGACGCCCUAUCGCGGUCUGUGCCAGUUAGUGCUAUCUCCUCCUCCGAUAUAAAGGACACUAAAGACGAGUGGUACAAAACAAUUUUUAACGGUUGCCUUAACAGACCACAAGAUUUUCCAAAUUAUUUAAUUAAAAACGACAUUUUGUAUAGGUUGACUAAAGUUAAAUGUAAAUUGCAAAAUGAAUUUUCGUGGAAGAUCGUAGUUCCUUCCGAAUUACGUGAAAAUGUUAUUCUAGAAAAUCACUCGCAACCAACAGCUGCACAUUUGGGCAUAUUUAAAACUUACCAUCGCCUCAUGUUGCGUUACUUUUGGCCAGGAAUGCACAGUGAUGUAGUUCAGUUUGUUGGUUCUUGUCAAAAAUGUCUUGAAUAUAAAACUUCUAAUCAUCAAAUACUUGGAGUCAUGGGUCGUCCAAAACAAUGCUCUCGUCCUUUUCAAAUGGUCUCAAUUGACCUCAUGGGCCCUCUGCCUGUUAGUCGAAAACAAAAUAGUUACAUUUUAGUUGUGACCUGCUGUUUUUCAAAAUUUUGUCUGAUUUAUCCAAUUAGAAAAGCAACGUCAGAUGUAAUUAUAAAAAUUUUAGAGGAUUCCGUUUUCCUUGUCCACGGAAUUCCUCAAACUAUAAUUGUCGAUAAUGGUUCACAAUUUAUUAGCCGUGACACAGCUGUGUUAUUUAAAAAAUAUAACAUACCCAACAUUUAUUUUACGCCGAAAUAUACACCACAAGUUAACACAGUUGAACGUUACAAUAGAACUAUUAUCACUUGCAUAUCAACAUUUGUCGAAAAUGAUCACAGAACUUGGGACGUUUUUAUUCCAAAGGUUCAAUUUGCGAUAAAUAACUCGGUAAACGAGGCUACUGGUUUCACGCCAUCUUUCUUAGUCUAUGGUAGGGAACUUGUCACCUGCGGUACCCACUAUACAGACUCAGAAUUAGGCAACGAAAUCUUAUUUUUACCUCGGGAUAUUUAUGCCGAAAACUUAGGCUGCCUUUCUAGUAUUUUUAAUGACGUACAGAAAAAGUUAUGGCAUGCUCACGAAAAAAAUACUUCACACUAUAAUCUGCGUCGAAAGCCAGCAGAGUUUAAUGUGGGAGAUAUUGUUAUGAAGCGCGCUUACGUAUUAAGUGACAAAGACAAAUAUUUUAGUAAAAAGUUAGCACCAAAAUUCAUUAAAUGUCGUGUGACUCAUAAAAAAUCGCCUUUGGUGUAUGUCCUAGAGGAUAUGUCAGGUAAAGAUUUGGGCACUUGGCACAUUAAGGAUUUAAAAUUAGUUGGCCUAAAUAAAUAAAUAUUUUUUUGUCGUUAAUUAAUGUUUAUUAUAAUAACUUUACCUCGUAAAAAAAAAAAAAGAACAUCUUAAGUAUUAUUAGUUUGUAUGGGUUACCAGUUCAAUGUAUAGCAGGAACCUAUUUAUGUAAGAAUGCGUCAUUAUUCAUUAUAUUAAAGAAUAAUGUUGCCAUAAUGAAAGCGUGACGUAUGAGAGCAAUUUUAUGAAAGGAUUAAUACAAGCAUCGACUUAUUACUUUUAUGCGGAUUUUUUUUAUAAAAAAAAAUCCUUGGUGACGCGGGGGGGUAAUGUAACGUUAUACGUCACAUAAUUACUAUAAUGAACAAAAAUAACUAAAACUAUCAAAUACAUAAAACAACAAAAAACUGUAAACAAGAUUUUAUUCUUAUCACUAAAUAAAUAACAUUUACAAAACAAAUAAUUACAUAAAUCACUUAAAACUAGCUUAAAAUGAAAUAGAUCAAUAUUACAGUGACCUUGCUAAUGGUUCGUUUAUCGGUCGCGCGGGACCCUAAGCAGCUUUCUCUUCAAUCCUUUGCGUCUGGGCAUUGGUCAAAAACAUCGUAUGAUUUUAAUGGGCGGCGCCUAAAGCCGUUUGACCUUUAAAAAUCGUCGGCCAGGGCACGUCUCCCCGGCUUCAUUUUGACAAACCAACUUGAAAAGUACGGCCGCGUACCUGCCUAUCGCCGCCGCGCCGAUUCAAUUUCAAAUAAUUUAUAAUAUUUAGUGCAAAUGCAAUAAAUACAGAUUGCAAAGUACAAAUUUCUGCGAGUACAAGUUAUUACGCCAUAUUUCAUAAAUAAGUACGAUAAAACUGUGUAGUGAAUACAUCCCCGAUAGGGGAUCGAAUUUGGGGACUAACGCGGAGGCAAACGCGUACCAUCUGCGGCUCAAGAUCCAAGGCGCCUCCAGCUGACAGCGACUACGUCCAGCACCUACGGCCACCAUCUACCUUCGGCCGCCCUCGCCAGGGAAGUCACGGACCGCGAAAGCAUACCCACAGUCGGGCAUCCGAACCCCGCCCUCAUAUUUUUUGUAAAAGUAAAUAAACCGUAAUUUUAUCUGUGUA
This is a long non-coding RNA of Ostrinia nubilalis (European corn borer), 6814 nucleotides long. RefSeq lists it as uncharacterized. Lineage: Eukaryota; Metazoa; Arthropoda; Insecta; Lepidoptera; Crambidae. The record is from RefSeq and is a predicted model, not a curated record. The transcript has 3 exons.